UUCCCUCUCCCCUUUCUCCCAAGCCUAGGGUUCACCACCUCCAAACCCGCCGCCGCUCACCUCCGUCUCCACUCCCCCUACUGCCCUCUCCCGGAUCGCCUGCCCCUCCCUCGUGCAGCGCUACAGGGAUCGCCUCCACCGCUCGCUCCCGGACGGUUCGUCGCACGCUGCAGUGACGCUGAACAGGAUCCUAAGCCGUCGCGACUGCCGCACCUUGCAGCGGCGUUGAAGGAACCGUCGCCGCUCCUUAGGAAGUGGUCUCCGUCCAGAUCUUCGUUGUUGGAGGAGCGGUGGAAGAGGCACGGGUUCAUCUUGCGUUUGCCUGUGAGGCUGGCCAAGGUUUGCACGGUUGUUCCGUCGGAUGUGGGAUGUAUGGUGGAGGAAACAGAUGUGGGCCUGGUUGUGGUGGCCGUCGCCGCCACAUCCGCAUGGACCUUGACCAUCUACGACUAACUCCAGGUCUCCAGCAACAUAUAUGGCGCUCUAUGCUUUGACUAAUUCUGCAAAGAUUCGUUGUCUUCAGUUCCUCUAUUGCAAGUCCAGCUCUAAGUACUGAUUGAUGGAUUCUCGAAAAUGCAUUUCCAUUGCACUGCUGAAGAUACUAACUGACUGCAACUUGGCGUUGCAGGCUGCUCUUCACCUGCAUAUGUUAGAGAGGGCUGGUACUGGUACUUCCCCUGCUCCAAUUUUUUUCUGCUCAGCUCCAAUAUGUUCUCUGUGAUUCGGUUUGGUGUGUUGUUCCUGCUGAUAGAUUACAAGUUUACAACAAUAGAUGGGGCAGAGAUAUAUACUGUACUACCUUAAGGCUUAAAUCCAUGAACUGAAUUGAUUCAUCUGUGUUGCAUUGCGGGAGCAAAAAAAUUACAACAAUUAAGAAGUAGGUUAGCAACUAGCGCUGAAUUGGUUCCACUGUAAGACUUACCAUAUACUUGAGUUUUUAAUUUUAGAUGCAUGAUAGGAAAAAUUACCUUUUGUUCCCAAAAAAAUUCCAAUGUAAAACUUGUCAUUUUAAGGUGUAUUAAUCUCAUUAUAUGCUAUUACAGAUUGUUGGAGAAGGAAACUGUGUUAAAAAAACUAUAGCAAUCAUCUCUGACCCUCUGAAAGAAAGCUUACACCCUGAUCAUGGUCCCUUCUGCGGAUAGAAUUUACCAGAGCGUUGACUUUCUCAGGAUGAAUAGUUGGGUGUUGUUCAGCUGAUGCCUGCCUUUGAAGAACCUUAUAGACGAUUAAUUAUAAUUAGAAAUAAUGCCAGCAUGGAGCCAGCAGGAUAUGAGUUUGGUUUAAAUGGUAGCAAGUUCAAUGAACAUCCUGAGAUCCCGUUUGAUGAGAUUAUAUUUUGAAUUCUUUGCCCAAAUGACAAGACUAAUUAAUAGUGUUGGUGAUGCCUACAUAGAUCCAAUUUAGUAGGACCGCGUGACACAUUAGUCAUCACAUCUAGAGAGGUAAACCCACAUUUCUUAUGCCCCUUUACUUAAGUGCCCAACAUAAUGUUCUAAACGUUGCAUGUACUGAUUGUAUGUCUCAUCCUGGUUUGGAGGUGUUAGUAUCUGAACAAUUAAUACAGGUGUUACCUAAUCCCUUACCAUUACCACAUAAUGAACACUCUGUAAGACACCUGAAUUUCAUUGUCUGGGUUAGCCUGCUUUCAGCCAAAAUGACUAAAAGUAAAAUAACUAUUGUGGUCCAUCUUGUGUGCUAACUCUUUGGCUGAAAGAUUGUGAGACUGCUAAAACAAUGGUCUUACUAUUUGAAGAUCAUAUGUGGUAAUUUAUAUCAAAAAAUGAACUAGAGAUAGUUCCCGGUGCAUAAUAACGGUCUGAAUGAAUAAUCAAUCAGUGAACCAUGUCCAUCUGGGUUAUAUUCUCUUUUGGACUUGAAGCAGCCAGACGGGGGAUCGCCAGGGCUCAAUUUUAUAUCCCAAUUUUCGUUCCUAUAAAAUAACUUUUUCUUAGUUCAAAUAAUAUUCGAAUGCAUAUUUGAGCACUAGAAAAUAUGCUUUUAACAUUGGUUCGAGGAUUGGGUUACAAAAUGGAUGGAGAUUACAAAGAUUGAUUAUGUGUCUUACAGUUUGCCUCACUAUGUUGACAAGAUUAGCACAUUCCAAGUAUCGUUAAUAAUAUAAAUGGCAUCACUUACCUUGCAAGUAAACACUGAAGGUUCUAAGACAGCUAAUUAUUUUACAGCUAUAACGCUGUUGUUUCUGGCUUUUGCCUUACUGUUCACUCUUCUAUGGUCAUGCAUGUGCCAUUGGUAUAAUGACCAGGUUUCUACCUAUUGUCACCAAUGUUGUUAAAGGUUCUCCAUCACUGAAGUGAACUUUAUAGCUCACUGAGACAAGUUUCAGACUGCUUUACUCUAUGGUCAACAUGUCCUUCAAACUUGGUGUCUAUGGUGACAUUUUUGAUUAUGCAAUGUCGUUCAUCGUUGCAUAAUUUCUCCUUUUGUAUCAUUGUAGGGAGAAAAUUGUAAUAGAUCUUUGGAGCGAGAAUACCAAAACCCUCAACGACGGUAGACUUAUAGAAGUUAGUGCGAAAGAGGGUAUAGUUCCCUGGUUGUAGGAUACACCAGGCUGCACAUGCACAAAACAGGAAUGUGUUUUGUUUCAUUGGUGCUAUUACUGAAUUUGUAUUCUGUCACCUGAUGUGAACUGGUCUUUUCUCUCGCCUUUUUAUUACCUUUGGUGCCGAUUCUGGAUGCGCUUCAAUGUACAAUAGCAUAGCUUAUGCUUUCAGUAAAAUGUAAAUUGGUUGCUAUAAAUGGGGUCGGUACAGAGUUUCUGAUGCCGUUUUACAUAUGGUUGUUUUUGCUCUCCUCUGUAUCAGCAGGUUAAUUUGGUAUGAAAGUAUGUAGAUCGAAUGAUGAUGACUAUGUAUUGGCACUUUUAGUGCUCUUGGACCAAAGACAUUUCUUUAAUCUGAGAAGUAGGUUGUUCCUCUGUUUUUUUAGCUGAAUCAAAUUUAAUCAUUCAGACGUA
Lolium rigidum is the source of this 2974-nucleotide long non-coding RNA. RefSeq lists it as uncharacterized. Lineage: Eukaryota; Viridiplantae; Streptophyta; Magnoliopsida; Poales; Poaceae. The transcript is spliced from 2 exons. The record is from RefSeq and is a predicted model, not a curated record.